Long non-coding RNA from Hydra vulgaris (swiftwater hydra), 729 nucleotides. RefSeq lists it as uncharacterized. Lineage: Eukaryota; Metazoa; Cnidaria; Hydrozoa; Anthoathecata; Hydridae. The record is from RefSeq and is a predicted model, not a curated record.
UACUUUUUAAUGAAGUUUAGUGCUUUAAUAUCUUUAUUAUUAGAAAUUAGGUGCAAAAUUGUUUAAAUGAUUUUUAAUUCACCUGACACAUCUUCAGGAUGAUUUAAAAGAUUGCAGUAAUAUCGGAGGUCGAGUAGUAUCAGGCGUUAUCACAUGAAAACAUAAAAUAGUAUAAAUGAUCUUCCUUUAUAUUUUUGCUUUAUUCCUUUGCAAGUUAAACGUGUUUAAUGUAUUGAAAUCUUUUAUUGAAAUUCAGAAUAUUUAUAGUUCGAUUUGUGUGGAUGGCAAUGCGUUUAUAGUUUUAAUUCAAUUGGAAUAUGUUUUUACAAUUUUUAUAUGUAGUAGUUCAUUGAGGGUAUUUUUUGAAACAACACGAUUAUCUAAUGUUAUCAUGGAGUCAAUAAGUUGUGAAAUAUUGGAUAAACAACGGAAGAUAUUUCUUUUAUCUUUUAUAUGGUAGCCCAAGAAAUUUCAUUGAUAUAGAAAUGUAUAAAAUAUAAGAAAACAACAACAAAAAUGUGGUUUCUUCACUUCUGAAUAUUUUUGGGUGACUUGGUUGCAAUUAUUAAAUCUAUCAGCUUAUCGAAAAGUACUAAACGUUCGUUCAUGCAAACAUCAAAUUAAAAUGAUGGCAGAAGUUUAACAGUUCGCUAACUUUUAUACGUAUUGUAUUGCAAGGCAAUUUUACUGAAAUGAAAAUAUUUGGUCAUAUAAAACGUGUCGCUAAAA